RNAcentral lists this ribosomal RNA (1353 nucleotides) under uncultured bacterium. RNAcentral describes it as "bacterial SSU rRNA". It matches the Rfam family "Bacterial small subunit ribosomal RNA", at positions 28 to 1381 of the family's 1533-position model. The record is from RNAcentral.
GAUGAACGCUAGCGGCAGGCCUAAUACAUGCAAGUCGAACGAUAGUUACCAGCUUGCUGGUAACGAAAAGUGGCGCACGGGUGCGUAACGCGUAUGCAACCUACCUUAUUCAGGGGGAUAGCCCGAAGAAAUUCGGAUUAACACCGCAUAAAAUCACAGAACAGCAUUGUUUAAUGAUCAAAUAUUUAUAGGAAUAAGAUGGGCAUGCGUGUCAUUAGCUAGUUGGCGGGGUAACGGCCCACCAAGGCGACGAUGACUAGGGGAUCUGAGAGGAUGACCCCCCACACUGGUACUGAGACACGGACCAGACUCCUACGGGAGGCAGCAGUAAGGAAUAUUGGUCAAUGGAGGCAACUCUGAACCAGCCAUGCCGCGUGCAGGAAGACAGCCCUCUGGGUCGUAAACUGCUUUUAUUCGGGAAUAAACCUUAUUACGUGUAAUAAGUUGAAUGUACCGAAGGAAUAAGGAUCGGCUAACUCCGUGCCAGCAGCCGCGGUAAUACGGAGGAUCCAAGCGUUAUCCGGAUUUAUUGGGUUUAAAGGGUGCGUAGGCGGCUUAUUAAGUCAGGGGUGAAAGACGGUGGCUCAACCAUCGCAGUGCCCUUGAUACUGAUGAGCUUGAAUGAACUAGAGGUAGGCGGAAUGUGACAAGUAGCGGUGAAAUGCAUAGAUAUGUCACAGAACACCGAUUGCGAAGGCAGCUUACUAUGGUUUUAUUGACGCUGAGGCACGAAAGCGUGGGGAUCAAACAGGAUUAGAUACCCUGGUAGUCCACGCCCUAAACGAUGAAUACUCGCUGUUAGCGAUAUACAGUUAGCGGCUAAGCGAAAGCGUUAAGUAUUCCACCUGGGGAGUACGCCCGCAAGGGUGAAACUCAAAGGAAUUGACGGGGGCCCGCACAAGCGGAGGAGCAUGUGGUUUAAUUCGAUGAUACGCGAGGAACCUUACCCGGGCUUGAAAGUUAGUGAAUGAUUUAGAGAUAGAUCAGUGAGCAAUCACACGAAACUAGGUGCUGCAUGGCUGUCGUCAGCUCGUGCCGUGAGGUGUUGGGUUAAGUCCCGCAACGAGCGCAACCCCUAUGUUUAGUUGCCAGCACGUUAAGGUGGGGACUCUAAACAGACUGCCUGUGCAAACAGAGAGGAAGGAGGGGACGACGUCAAGUCAUCAUGGCCCUUACGUCCGGGGCUACACACGUGCUACAAUGGAUGGUACAGAGGGCAGCAAGCUGGUAACAGCAAGCAAAUCUCAAAAAGCCAUUCACAGUUCGGAUAGAGGUCUGCAACUCGACCUCUUGAAGUUGGAUUCGCUAGUAAUCGCGUAUCAGCAAUGACGCGGUGAAUACGUUCCCGGGCCU